This 379-nucleotide ribosomal RNA is filed under the name Propionibacteriaceae bacterium. RNAcentral describes it as "bacterial SSU rRNA". It matches the Rfam family "Bacterial small subunit ribosomal RNA", at positions 1 to 384 of the family's 1533-position model. The record is from RNAcentral. Lineage: Bacteria; Bacillati; Actinomycetota; Actinomycetes; Propionibacteriales; Propionibacteriaceae.
UCAACGGAGAGUUUGAUCCUGGCUCAGGACGAACGCUGGCGGCGUGCUUAACACAUGCAAGUCGAACGGUAAGGCUCUUCGGAGUACACGAGUGGCGAACGGGUGAGUAACACGUGAGCAAUCUGCCCUUGACACUGGGAUAACAGUUGGAAACAGCUGCUAAUACCGGAUACGACCUUUGAGGACAUCCUCGAAGGUGGAAAGCUCCGACGGUCAAGGAUGAGCUCGCGGCCUAUCAGCUUGUUGGUGAGGUAACGGCCCACCAAGGCGACGACGGGUAGCCGGCCUGAGAGGGCGACCGGCCACACUGGGACUGAGAUACGGCCCAGACUCCUACGGGAGGCAGCAGUGGGGAAUAUUGCACAAUGGGCGAAAGCCU